ACGCUGGCGGUAGGCUUAACACAUGCAAGUCGUGCGAGAAAGUAUCUUCGGAUAUGAGUAGAGCGGCGGACGGGUGAGUAACGCGUAGGAAUCUACCUAGUAGAAGGGGAUAGCCCGGGGAAACUCGGAUUAAUACCGUAUACCUCCUUAGGGAGAAAGAGGGCCUCUCUUGAAGCUCUCGCUAUUAGAUGAGCCUGCGUAAGAUUAGCUUGUUGGUAAGGUAAUAGCUUACCAAGGCUACGAUCUUUAGCUGGUCUGAGAGGACGAUCAGCCACAUUGGGACUGAGACACGGCCCAGACUCCUACGGGAGGCAGCAGUGGGGAAUAUUGGACAAUGGGCGCAAGCCUGAUCCAGCCAUACCGCGUGUGUGAAGAAGGCUCUAGGGUUGUAAAGCACUUUAAGCAGGGAGAAAAAGUUAUAAAUUAAUACUUUAUAACCGUGAUGUUACCUGCAGAAUAAGCACCGGCUAAUUCCGUGCCAGCAGCCGCGGUAAUACGGAAGGUGCAAGCGUUAAUCGGAAUUACUGGGCGUAAAGCGCGCGUAGGUGGUUUGUUAAGUUGGAUGUGAAAGCCCUGGGCUCAACCUAGGAACUGCAUCCAAAACUAACUCACUAGAGUACGAUAGAGGGAGGUAGAAUUCAUAGUGUAGCGGUGGAAUGCGUAGAUAUUAUGAAGAAUACCAGUGGCGAAGGCGGCCUCCUGGAUCUGUACUGACACUAAGGUGCGAAAGCGUGGGUAGCGAACAGGAUUAGAUACCCUGGUAGUCCACGCCGUAAACGAUGACAACUAGCUGUUGGAAGACAAUGUCUUUCAGUGGCGCAGCUAACGUUUUAAGUUGUCCGCC
Molecule: ribosomal RNA, 844 nt
Filed under: uncultured Gammaproteobacteria bacterium
Lineage: Bacteria; Pseudomonadati; Pseudomonadota; Gammaproteobacteria
Description: bacterial SSU rRNA
Rfam family: Bacterial small subunit ribosomal RNA
Source: RNAcentral